CAAGUACUCCCUCCGUCCGAAAAUACUCCUCGGAGGGGAUGUAUCUAAACAUAUUUUAGUUCUAGAUACAUCCAUUUUUAUCAAUUUAUCCGACAAAUAUUUUGGGACGGAGGGAGUAGUAA
Triticum aestivum (bread wheat) is the source of this 122-nucleotide non-coding RNA. The record is from Rfam. NCBI's taxonomy places the organism in Eukaryota, Viridiplantae, Streptophyta, Magnoliopsida, Poales, Poaceae.